RNAcentral lists this ribosomal RNA (988 nucleotides) under Alcaligenes sp. MB207. Its description in RNAcentral is "bacterial SSU rRNA". It matches the Rfam family "Bacterial small subunit ribosomal RNA", at positions 536 to 1533 of the family's 1533-position model. Lineage: Bacteria; Pseudomonadati; Pseudomonadota; Betaproteobacteria; Burkholderiales; Alcaligenaceae. The record is from RNAcentral.
GGGGACGUAUCGGAUACUGGGCGUAAGCGUGUGUAGGCGGUUCGGAAAGAAAGAUGUGAAAUCCCAGGGCUCAACCUUGGAACUGCAUUUUUAACUGCCGAGCUAGAGUAUGUCAGAGGGGGGUAGAAUUCCACGUGUAGCAGUGAAAUGCGUAGAUAUGUGGAGGAAUACCGAUGGCGAAGGCAGCCCCCUGGGAUAAUACUGACGCUCAGACACGAAAGCGUGGGGAGCAAACAGGAUUAGAUACCCUGGUAGUCCACGCCCUAAACGAUGUCAACUAGCUGUUGGGGCCGUUAGGCCUUAGUAGCGCAGCUAACGCGUGAAGUUGACCGCCUGGGGAGUACGGUCGCAAGAUUAAAACUCAAAGGAAUUGACGGGGACCCGCACAAGCGGUGGAUGAUGUGGAUUAAUUCGAUGCAACGCGAAAAACCUUACCUACCCUUGACAUGUCUGGAAAGCCGAAGAGAUUUGGCCGUGCUCGCAAGAGAACCGGAACACAGGUGCUGCAUGGCUGUCGUCAGCUCGUGUCGUGAGAUGUUGGGUUAAGUCCCGCAACGAGCGCAACCCUUGUCAUUAGUUGCUACGCAAGAGCACUCUAAUGAGACUGCCGGUGACAAACCGGAGGAAGGUGGGGAUGACGUCAAGUCCUCAUGGCCCUUAUGGGUAGGGCUUCACACGUCAUACAAUGGUCGGGACAGAGGGUCGCCAACCCGCGAGGGGGAGCCAAUCUCAGAAACCCGAUCGUAGUCCGGAUCGCAGUCUGCAACUCGACUGCGUGAAGUCGGAAUCGCUAGUAAUCGCGGAUCAGAAUGUCGCGGUGAAUACGUUCCCGGGUCUUGUACACACCGCCCGUCACACCAUGGGGAGUGGGUUUCACCAGAAGUAGGUAGCCUAACCGCAAGGAGGGCGCUUACCACGGUGGGAUUCAUGACUGGGGUGAUCACAAGGAGGGCCCCCCCACACACAAAAAAGGAGGGGGAGAACGCGG